UACGUAGGGUGCAAGCGUUAAUCGGAAUUACUGGGCGUAAAGCGUGCGCAGGCGGUAAUGUAAGGCAGAUGUGAAAUCCCCGGGCUCAACCUGGGAACUGCAUUUGUGACUGCAUUGCUGGAGUGCGGCAGAGGGGGAUGGAAUUUCGCGUGUAGCAGUGAAAUGCGUAGAUAUGCGGAGGAACACCGAUGGCGAAGGCAAUCCCCUGGGCCUGCACUGACGCUCAUGCACGAAAGCGUGGGGAGCAACAGG
Molecule: unclassified non-coding RNA, 252 nt
Filed under: uncultured Gammaproteobacteria bacterium
Lineage: Bacteria; Pseudomonadati; Pseudomonadota; Gammaproteobacteria
Description: contains 16S-23S intergenic spacer region
Rfam family: Bacterial small subunit ribosomal RNA
Source: RNAcentral